GAUGAACGCUGGCGGCGUGCCUAGUACAUGCAAGUCGAGCGAACAGACGAGGAGCUUGCUCCUCUGACGUUAGCGGCGGACGGGUGAGUAACACGUGGAUAACCUACCUAUAAGACUGGGAUAACUUCGGGAAACCGGAGCUAAUACCGGAUAAUAUAUUGAGCCGCAUGGUUCAAUAGUGAAAGACGGUUUUGCUGCCACUUAUAGAUGGAUCCGCGCCGCAUUAGCUAGUUGGUAAGGUAACGGCUUACCAAGGCAACGAUGCGUAGCCGACCUGAGAGGGUGAUCGGCCACACUGGAACUGAGACACGGUCCAGACUCCUACGGGAGGCAGCAGUAGGGAAUCUUCCGCAAUGGGCGAAAGCCUGACGGAGCAACGCCGCGUGAGUGAUGAAGGUCUUCGGAUCGUAAAACUCUGUUAUUAGGGAAGAACAAAUGUGUAAGUAACUAUGCACGUCUUGACGGUACCUAAUCAGAAAGCCACGGCUAACUACGUG
This 497-nucleotide ribosomal RNA is filed under the name uncultured bacterium. RNAcentral's name for it is "partial 16S ribosomal RNA". It matches the Rfam family "Bacterial small subunit ribosomal RNA", at positions 28 to 507 of the family's 1533-position model. The record is from RNAcentral.